UAGCUCAGUUGGUUCAGAGCAUCUGCCUUACAAGCAGAGGGUCGGGGGUUCGAAUCCCU
RNAcentral lists this transfer RNA (59 nucleotides) under Cytophagales bacterium. RNAcentral describes it as "tRNA-Val". It matches the Rfam family "tRNA", at positions 8 to 62 of the family's 71-position model. From Rfam's summary of the family: Transfer RNA (tRNA) molecules are approximately 80 nucleotides in length. The record is from RNAcentral. Lineage: Bacteria; Pseudomonadati; Bacteroidota; Cytophagia; Cytophagales.